This 85-nucleotide transfer RNA is filed under the name Felis catus (domestic cat). It matches the Rfam family "tRNA". From Rfam's summary of the family: Transfer RNA (tRNA) molecules are approximately 80 nucleotides in length. Their secondary structure includes four short double-helical elements and three loops (D, anti-codon, and T loops). The record is from Rfam by way of RNAcentral. Lineage: Eukaryota; Metazoa; Chordata; Mammalia; Carnivora; Felidae.
GCCUGGGUGGCUCAGUCGGUUGAGCGUCCGACUUCAGCUCGGGUCAUAAUCUCACAGUCUGUGAGUUCAAGCCCCGCAUCGGGCU